Molecule: ribosomal RNA, 2896 nt
Filed under: Klebsiella pneumoniae
Lineage: Bacteria; Pseudomonadati; Pseudomonadota; Gammaproteobacteria; Enterobacterales; Enterobacteriaceae
Description: 23S ribosomal RNA
Rfam family: Bacterial large subunit ribosomal RNA
Source: RNAcentral
UUAAGCGACUAAGCGUACACGGUGGAUGCCCUGGCAGUCAGAGGCGAUGAAGGACGUGCUAAUCUGCGAAAAGCGUCGGUAAGGUGAUAUGAACCGUUAUAACCGGCGAUGUCCGAAUGGGGAAACCCAGUGCAAUUCGUUGCACUAUCGUUAACUGAAUACAUAGGUUAACGAGGCGAACCGGGGGAACUGAAACAUCUAAGUACCCCGAGGAAAAGAAAUCAACCGAGAUUCCCCCAGUAGCGGCGAGCGAACGGGGAGCAGCCCAGAGUCUGAAUCAGCUUGUGUGUUAGUGGAACGGUCUGGAAAGUCCGACGGUACAGGUGAUAGUCCCGUACACCAAAAUGCACAGGCUGUGAACUCGAAGAGUAGGGCGGGACACGUGGUAUCCUGUCUGAAUAUGGGGGGACCAUCCUCCAAGGCUAAAUACUCCUGACUGACCGAUAGUGAACCAGUACCGUGAGGGAAAGGCGAAAAGAACCCCGGCGAGGGGAGUGAAAAAGAACCUGAAACCGUGUACGUACAAGCAGUGGGAGCACCUUCGGGUGUGACUGCGUACCUUUUGUAUAAUGGGUCAGCGACUUAUAUUCUGUAGCAAGGUUAACCGUAUAGGGGAGCCGCAGGGAAACCGAGUCUUAACUGGGCGUUAAGUUGCAGGGUAUAGACCCGAAACCCGGUGAUCUAGCCAUGGGCAGGUUGAAGGUGGGUAACACUAACUGGAGGACCGAACCGACUAAUGUUGAAAAAUUAGCGGAUGACUUGUGGCUGGGGGUGAAAGGCCAAUCAAACCGGGAGAUAGCUGGUUCUCCCCGAAAGCUAUUUAGGUAGCGCCUCGUGAAUUCAUCUUCGGGGGUAGAGCACUGUUUCGGCUAGGGGGUCAUCCCGACUUACCAACCCGAUGCAAACUACGAAUACCGAAGAAUGUUAUCACGGGAGACACACGGCGGGUGCUAACGUCCGUCGUGAAGAGGGAAACAACCCAGACCGCCAGCUAAGGUCCCAAAGUCAUGGUUAAGUGGGAAACGAUGUGGGAAGGCACAGACAGCCAGGAUGUUGGCUUAGAAGCAGCCAUCAUUUAAAGAAAGCGUAAUAGCUCACUGGUCGAGUCGGCCUGCGCGGAAGAUGUAACGGGGCUAAACCAUGCACCGAAGCUGCGGCAGCGACACUAUGUGUUGUUGGGUAGGGGAGCGUUCUGUAAGCCUGCGAAGGUGUGCUGUGAGGCAUGCUGGAGGUAUCAGAAGUGCGAAUGCUGACAUAAGUAACGAUAAAGCGGGUGAAAAGCCCGCUCGCCGGAAGACCAAGGGUUCCUGUCCAACGUUAAUCGGGGCAGGGUGAGUCGACCCCUAAGGCGAGGCCGAAAGGCGUAGUCGAUGGGAAACAGGUUAAUAUUCCUGUACUUGGUGUUACUGCGAAGGGGGGACGGAGAAGGCUAUGUUAGCCGGGCGACGGUUGUCCCGGUUUAAGCAUGUAGGCUGGUUGUCCAGGCAAAUCCGGAUAAUCAAGGCUGAGGUGUGAUGACGAGGCACUACGGUGCUGAAGUAACAAAUGCCCUGCUUCCAGGAAAAGCCUCUAAGCAUCAGGUAACAUCAAAUCGUACCCCAAACCGACACAGGUGGUCAGGUAGAGAAUACCAAGGCGCUUGAGAGAACUCGGGUGAAGGAACUAGGCAAAAUGGUGCCGUAACUUCGGGAGAAGGCACGCUGGUGUGUAGGUGAAGUCCCUGCGGAUGGAGCUGAGACCAGUCGAAGAUACCAGCUGGCUGCAACUGUUUAUUAAAAACACAGCACUGUGCAAACACGAAAGUGGACGUAUACGGUGUGACGCCUGCCCGGUGCCGGAAGGUUAAUUGAUGGGGUUAUCCGUAAGGAGAAGCUCUUGAUCGAAGCCCCGGUAAACGGCGGCCGUAACUAUAACGGUCCUAAGGUAGCGAAAUUCCUUGUCGGGUAAGUUCCGACCUGCACGAAUGGCGUAAUGAUGGCCAGCUGUCUCCACCCGAGACUCAGUGAAAUUGAACUCGCUGUGAAGAUGCAGUGUACCCGCGGCAAGACGGAAAGACCCCGUGAACCUUUACUAUAGCUUGACACUGAACAUUGAGCCUUGAUGUGUAGGAUAGGUGGGAGGCUUUGAAGCGUGGACGCCAGUCUGCGUGGAGCCAACCUUGAAAUACCACCCUUUAAUGUUUGAUGUUCUAACGUUGGCCCUUACCGGGGUUGCGGACAGUGUCUGGUGGGUAGUUUGACUGGGGCGGUCUCCUCCCAAAGCGUAACGGAGGAGCACGAAGGUUAGCUAAUCCUGGUCGGACAUCAGGAGGUUAGUGCAAUGGCAUAAGCUAGCUUGACUGCGAGCGUGACGGCGCGAGCAGGUGCGAAAGCAGGUCAUAGUGAUCCGGUGGUUCUGAAUGGAAGGGCCAUCGCUCAACGGAUAAAAGGUACUCCGGGGAUAACAGGCUGAUACCGCCCAAGAGUUCAUAUCGACGGCGGUGUUUGGCACCUCGAUGUCGGCUCAUCACAUCCUGGGGCUGAAGUAGGUCCCAAGGGUAUGGCUGUUCGCCAUUUAAAGUGGUACGCGAGCUGGGUUUAGAACGUCGUGAGACAGUUCGGUCCCUAUCUGCCGUGGGCGCUGGAGAAUUGAGGGGGGCUGCUCCUAGUACGAGAGGACCGGAGUGGACGCAUCACUGGUGUUCGGGUUGUCAUGCCAAUGGCACUGCCCGGUAGCUAAAUGCGGAAGAGAUAAGUGCUGAAAGCAUCUAAGCACGAAACUUGCCCCGAGAUGAGUUCUCCCUGAGACUUUAAGUCUCCUGAAGGAACGUUGAAGACGACGACGUUGAUAGGCCGGGUGUGUAAGCGCAGCGAUGCGUUGAGCUAACCGGUACUAAUGAACCGUGAGGCUUAACCUU